AGAGAAGAGAAGAGAAGAGAAGAAAUGAUUGCUUUGGAUCGAUCUGGCAAUUUCUUUUGUCAUUGAGCUUCUUUGUUUCCGUUCUUUUCUUUGCGCGCUUGCUUAAUUGUGUGUAUG
RNAcentral lists this non-coding RNA (117 nucleotides) under Chromera velia. Lineage: Eukaryota; Chromeraceae. The record is from RNAcentral.